Molecule: long non-coding RNA, 4760 nt
Filed under: Brassica napus (rape)
Lineage: Eukaryota; Viridiplantae; Streptophyta; Magnoliopsida; Brassicales; Brassicaceae
Description: long non-coding RNA (BNAP_LNC005513)
Source: RNAcentral
AUCGAAGAGAAGAGCUGAGGGAAGAGUCGCCGGAGAAGAUGAAGCAGAGCAUUUGAUUCCUCCGGAGCGAGAUCCUCUGUGUGUUAUCAUCGGGUUUGAUCUCAAGCACUUACCCAUGAACCGCGACCUCGAAGCCUUUGCCGACAAAGGUGUCGCGUUAAACGCACGCGCUGCAUUGGGGAUGAAUGACGCCGCUGAUAGCUUUGACUGAAUUGAAGAAGGUGAAGACAGAGAGAGUUUCACAGUCGCCAUUGUUUGUUUGAUGAUUCUCUAUCUCUCUAUCUCUUUUGCCAAGUAAAAUAACGGUCGGGGAUUUCUUCAACUUAUCCGGUCUUUGUGCUAACGACCACAAGUAAUAACCACCCGGUUCGGGUUGUUGGAUCAGGAUACAUACACUUGUACUAAAAAACCGGGUCGGAUUGCUUUUGGUGACUUGUACAAAUUUAAUCUUGGGACAUUAUCUCAAUGACAAGGCCAAUCAAACUCUACCCAUCGUGUGAUAAAGGAAUAAACGUUUUUUACAAAAUUUUCACUUUUCAGUGUGAAAGAUUCAUAAGAAUGUAAGACAGUAAGAGCAUGGCCAUUGGAAUUAUAUCAAGAGUGUUUUACAAAAAAACUUCAAAGAAAAUUAAAAAUAUCUCAAAGUAUUUCAUUUAAAUACUUCAAAAUGUAGUUCUCAUCACUUAAGAUAUAUAAUUAAUGAAAUAAUAAAUUUUCUUUAUUUAUGAAAUAUUUUGGUGAGAUAUUUCUCUUGUUCAUGAUAUGAAUGUUGAUCAUGCAAUCGCAAAUAAGCCUAGUACCUUUAGGAAAAACGAUCAGAUGAAACUUAGUUAUGUGAAGAAUUACUAACAUGUGAAGAUCAUUUUAGAGAAUAUAUUUAAAGUUGGGGUGGACAUCGUAAUAACUUCAUUCAAGAACAUAUUUGAUCAAACAUCGAAUUUUUAAAGUUUUUUUGAGUUGUUAUUUAAUUUGAGAAAACUAAAGGCACUAGAUGAAAGUGAAAUACAAGAACAUUGUACUAAUUUUCACUAUUUUUUUUUUCAUUGUAGUUUUACAGAUGUUGAUUUAAAUUAUUAGUAACAUUUGUCUUAAUAAAACAUGAACACUAACUAAAACCUUAUAUUAUGUGAUAUUUAUGACAAAUUCAAUUUAAUAUUGAAUUUGAUAUUAAUUUCCUUAAGAUUAUAUUUGUAUUUUAGAGUUUAGUCAUACAUAUAUGUUGAUCAAAUUAUUUGUAUGAAUUAAAUAUUUGAGUGAAUAACAUAUAUUAAGUGUAAUUUAUAAAACGUCCACUUCAUUUAAAUUAUUAAACCAGAAAUUACAAUGUGUUUGUUUUUGUUCUUUUAAACUUGAAUUUUCUCGUUAUUAUCUAUGUUUUUUAGGUUUCUUAUAAGUUCUAUUGGUGAUAUAAACUUUUCUACCACAAAGUUCUUUGAUUAUUUACAAUGAUUUUUUCAAUGUUAAACUUUUAUUUGCAAUUCUUCAUCUAUCAUACAUCAUGUUAUAUAAUUAACACUUCAGUCUACAACUACAUUUGAUAAUAAAUACACUGAAACUAAAAAUAUCCACAUGAACUAUAUAUUUUCAAUCAUCAUCUGUCAUUUAUGUUAAUGACAUAAACUGGUACAAUAUCUAUUGUACUUUUAAAAUUGCACAAAAUAAAAAAAUAAAAGUAAUUACAUUACUGAAUAAUAUAUAUAUGAGUAUUAUCCAUAUAAAAAUAAGCUUGAUUAUCUUUUUGUAAACAAAGCAACCAUAUACUUCUAUUAUUGAAAAAUAAUACUAAACCGGCUACUAUAUUUAAUAACAGAAACUAAAUGCACUUUUAACUUUUAAAAUAACAUUUCUAGACCAUUCAUAUUGAUAGCAUAUUUUCAACAAUGCAAUACAAAAUACAAAAUUCUAAAGUAACAAAUCUUAACAGUUAGAGAUGAAAGAUUUACUUGAAAAAUAUUAUGAUAAAUUAAUAUCACAAAUUUAAUAAAAAAUUGAAGCAUUAGUGAUAUACAUUUAAUAUAAAAUUUAAAAUGAUGGUCCAAAUAAAAAUAUCACUCAUCAAAAAAUCAUGAUUUUUAUUUUAUUAGAAAACAAAUUUGAAAAAAUAAAAAUAAAAAUAAAUAUUUAUUUCUAACAAAAUAUUUAAAAAAUAUUAGUAAAUGUAUUUGUGAAAUUAUUUAAUUUCAUUUUAUUUAAAUUUUCGUUUAUAAACCAAAACUAUAUUCAAUUUUAAUUUCUAAUUAUAUUUUAUGAUUAUUUAAAUUAAAAUUAACUAAUAUAAAAUGAGAUAUAAUUUUAUUCUUUUAGUAACAUUUCAUUACUAAUUACAAAAUUUGCUGAAAAUAUUUAUAUUCAAUUUAUGACAAUUAAGUACUAAUUAAUGCUAGAUGACCAAUGAUAUUAUAGUUUCUAUUUUAUUAUUAGUUAAAUUGUGGUUAGGUAAACAAUUAAUGAUGUUUUUGUUUAGAAAUUAAAUGUUUCUUAAUCUACGUGCACAAUCUUAAAGCCUCAUAUAUAAAAAAACAGAGGGAGUAUAUAUUUUUAAUGUUACUCACAUAUUUAAAUGUUUGUAUAAUUCUGCCAAAUAUAAUAAUUUUAUAUUUUUCAUACUGUAAAUUAAAAUCAUCACAUAUAUAUGUUGCUUAUUAUAUAUUUGUCUUAUUGAAUUUGCGUUUGAUUACUAAACUAAAUUUUUUAAUGCAUGAAACAACAUAUAUGAAAACAAUUUUGUAUUUAAUUUAUUAUAAUCAUGAUCCGUAAUUCAAAUCGCUAGAUUUUUUUAGUAAUUUUUUAAUGUUUAUUAAUUUUAUAUAAUAAAUUACUGUAUAUUAAAAAGGUUUUAACUAACGAACUGUUUCUGGAGAAGGCUUCCACAGAAUGAUAGAUCAAAUCUCUCUUCUGGAGGGUCUCCAAUGCAGUCGAAAACCGCGUCUGCGUUCACAAAAUCUUCAUCCGCAGUGUAUCUGCAAAUCCCCAUAUAUGAAGAGUACUCAUUUUAUUUUCUGAUUGAUUAUGAACUUACGAAUCAUCAGGUUAUGAUAAGAUGUGUUAGUGAAACUACUCACCCACUCUUUGUAACUAUACAAGUCAUACCCGCAGCUUUUGCAGCUGCUAGCCCUAUAGCGCUAUCUUCAACCACAACACAUCUGCACAUACAAAUAGAGCCACACUCUUCAGAAGACCUUUUUCUAUAAAAAUAUCUACUCAUUCUCCUGUAAAUAACUAUAGAAACACACUUACUUUGAGGGAUCAACUCCAAGGGUUUCAGCUGCUAAGUUGUAUAUGGCCUGUUAAAAAUAUAUCUUUAGCUAAGAUGAAGCAAAAGAUGUCCUGUUGUAAUGAAAAGGUGUGUUGAGGAACGUUAAGAUGGGAAGCGAGUAAAUCACCGGAUCAGGCUUUUUCUUGGGGACAACGUCUCCAGCGAAUAUCUUGAUAUUCUCUGCUCGUUCUGGUCCAAGCAAGCAUGAAACGAUAGCCGAAACCUGAGAGAUCACGUCUCCAUAAGAUUAAUAUAUAAAUUUCUUCGAAGCUAAAGGAAUAUCUGAGAACAUUCUUGUGGGAAUAACACAGCUGCCUAUCCAUUUAUAUGACUAAUAUGGCCAUGGAAACUAAAGUAGUAGAACCUGAGUGAUCAUACCGCCUUCUCAUUUGAAGUGCUGCACACGGCAACUUUUACUCCAUUCGUUAAUGCUUGAUCAACCAACCUACAAUGUUCCAACAUGAGAAUAUGCUUAGAUAAACAAAGAAAUAGUCGAAACCUACAAGAGAUGAUGUUUCAGUAAAGAAACCACAACGUGUAUAUGAUUCCUAGAGAUAACUAGCCUUAACCAACAUUAAAUAGCAUCAGGAGAAUCCAUCAAAUAAUGUUCUAAAUGUCCUAAUUAGUUUUGUUUAUAAUCAAAUCCCAAGAAGGCUAUAUAUAUAAGAAUUGAUUCUAACUAACUUGGCAACACCGGGUCGAAGAGGAAGCAGCUUUUUCUCGAUGAGAACCAUGAAGAGCUCAGUCUUCUGCUUGUGAAGCCCAGCUAUGAACGCUUUCCUCUCUGCCUCAUCCUUGGGAGCUUUCUCUGGCCAACCUACCUUGUUAAAAUACGCUGUCAUUCUACAAAAAAAAAAAACACAAAGCCAUCUCAAUGAAAAAUAAUAUUAAUUUCAUUCAGACAAGACUAAACUGAAACUUCAUUAACAUCGAGUUUUGGUAAUAAAUACCUUUCUUUCCCGCCACCGAUUUUCAGCAGCUCGCCGUAUAAAUCGACAUCCCAUGUAACACCCAAAUCUCUCUGCGAGAUUACAAAACUCAAAAAGAUUGCAGCCUUAAGCCCAAUAAAAAGUUAAAGGGGGAGAAAAGAGUGACCUCCUUGAAAGUGUCGUUGAAGGAGAUCCUGUGACCGUCCUUCUCCGUAUCAACAAGCACGCCAUCGCAAUCGAAGAGAAGAGCUGAGGGAAGAGUCGCCGGAGAAGAUGAAGCAGAGCAUUUGAUUCCUCCGGAGCGAGAUCCUCUGUGUGUUAUCAUCGGGUUUGAUCUCAAGCACUUACCCAUGAACCGCGACCUCGAAGCCUUUGCCGACAAAGGUGUCGCGUUAAACGCACGCGCUGCAUUGGGGAUGAAUGACGCCGCUGAUAGCUUUGACUGAAUUGAAGAAGGUGAAGACAGAGAGAGUUUCACAGUCGCCAUUGUUUGUUUGAUGAUUCUCUAUCUCUCUAUCUCUUUUGCCAAGUAAAAUAACGGUCGGGGAUUUCUUCAACUUAUCCGGUCUUUGUGC